This 473-nucleotide long non-coding RNA is filed under the name Triticum aestivum (bread wheat). RNAcentral describes it as "long non-coding RNA (TAES_LNC015680)". The record is from RNAcentral. Lineage: Eukaryota; Viridiplantae; Streptophyta; Magnoliopsida; Poales; Poaceae.
GAACGAGAACCUCCACGGGCAGUUCUUCGAGAGCAGGCUCGGCCGCAACGCGUCGUCCGAGGUGUACCAGCGGGUGGCGCGGAUCGACCGGACGGCGAGGCUGUUCAUGAACGAGUUCGGCACGCUGGAGGAGCCGCUGGACGCGGCUGCCAUCUCCAGCAAGUACGUCGCCAAGCUGAAGCAGAUACGCUCCUACCCCGGCAACCGCGGCAUCAAGCUCGCCGUCGGCCUCGAGAGCCACUUCGGCACGCCCAACAUCCCCUACAUGAGGGCGACGCUGGACAUGCUCGCGCAGCUCAGGGUCCCCAUCUGGCUCACCGAGGUCGACGUCGGCCCGAAGGGCGCCCCCUACGUGCCGGUCUACCUGGAGGAGGUGCUGAGGGAAGGCUACGGGCACCCCAACGUGGAGGGCAUGGUGAUGUGGGCGGCCUGGCACGCGCAGGGCUGUUGGGUCAUGUGCCUCACGGACAACA